Molecule: ribosomal RNA, 327 nt
Filed under: uncultured Glomus
Lineage: Eukaryota; Fungi; Glomeromycota; Glomeromycetes; Glomerales; Glomeraceae
Description: SSU rRNA
Rfam family: Eukaryotic small subunit ribosomal RNA
Source: RNAcentral
AGCAGCCGCGGUAAUUCCAGCUCCAAUAGCGUAUAUUAAAGUUGUUGCAGUUAAAAAGCUCGUAGUUGAAUUUCGGGAUCAUCAGGUUGGUCGUGCCAAUGGUAUGUACUUGCCUUGAUGGUUCCUCCCUCUUGAAGAUCCGUAAUGUCAUUAAUUUGGUGUUGCGGGGAAUCAGGACUGUUACUUUGAAAAAUUAGAGUGUUUAAAGCAGGCAAACGCUUGAAUACAUUAGCAUGGAAUAAUGAAAUAGGACGUUUGAUCUUAUUUUGUUGGUUUCUAGGAUCGACGUAAUGAUUAAUAGGGAUAGUUGGGGGCAUUAGUAUUCAA